This is a non-coding RNA of Desulfotomaculum sp. 46_80, 106 nucleotides long. NCBI's taxonomy places the organism in Bacteria, Bacillati, Bacillota, Clostridia, Eubacteriales, Desulfotomaculaceae. The record is from Rfam.
UCUAUCACGAGGUGGAAUCUGAAGGAAGCCGGAGGCAAACUUCUGGCCUGACGAACAGGAAUCACAUAAGGCAUGCAUAGGCUGGGUAAAGCUGCCUAACAAGCCA